AUUGAACGCUGGCGGCAUGCCUUACACAUGCAAGUCGAACGGCAGCACGGGUGCUUGCACCUGGUGGCGAGUGGCGAACGGGUGAGUAAUACAUCGGAACAUGUCCUGUAGUGGGGGAUAGCCCGGCGAAAGCCGGAUUAAUACCGCAUACGAUCUACGGAUGAAAGCGGGGGACCUUCGGGCCUCGCGCUAUAGGGUUGGCCGAUGGCUGAUUAGCUAGUUGGUGGGGUAAAGCCCUACCAAGGCGACGAUCAGUAGCUGGUCUGAGAGGACGACCAGCCACACUGGGACUGAGACACGGCCCAGACUCCUACGGGAGGCAGCAGUGGGGAAUUUUGGACAAUGGGCGAAAGCCUGAUCCAGCAAUGCCGCGUGUGUGAAGAAGGCCUUCGGGUUGUAAAGCACUUUUGUCCGGAAAGAAAUCCUUGGCCCUAAUACGGUCGGGGGAUGACGGUACCGGAAGAAUAAGCACCGGCUAACUACGU
Molecule: ribosomal RNA, 485 nt
Filed under: uncultured bacterium
Lineage: Bacteria
Description: partial 16S ribosomal RNA
Rfam family: Bacterial small subunit ribosomal RNA
Source: RNAcentral